RNA transcript from Octodon degus (degu), 298 nucleotides. The record is from RefSeq and is a predicted model, not a curated record. NCBI's taxonomy places the organism in Eukaryota, Metazoa, Chordata, Mammalia, Rodentia, Octodontidae.
AAUGAGUCUAUGGAAGCAAACCCCUAGUGACGUCUUAAAGCAAAUCAUUGGAAGGCCAGUUGUGGUCAAAUUAAAUUCAGGAGUGGAUCACCGAGGGGUCCUGGCUUGCCUGGAUGGCUAUCUGAAUAUAGCCCUAGAGCAGUUGGAAGAGUGUGUUAAUGGACAGCUGAAGAAUAAACAUGGGGAUGCAUUUAUCCAAGGAAACAUUGUAUUGUACAUAAGUAUACAGAAGAAAAGGGUGUGAAGACACAAAGGAAGCAAUGUUUUUCAUCGUUGGAAUAUAAUUUUUAUGAAAUCU